CUGAGCAGCAAACUGAGCUGAUCCUUCUGGAGAAAGGAUGGUCGGACAGCCAAGACCUAUUGGUUCAGAAAAGAUGCAACAUUGAGCUCAGGAGGACUACAGAUGCAGCAAGAUGUGAAUUUCUGAAGUUGGGUAACAGGAAAGGCCGACCAUUAGAGAUACCUGAGAGGACCUGCAGCUUCAACCUCGGCCCUUUCCUCUGUAACUGCUGUGAGGCCUACUUUCUGUCACAGGGCACUCGCAACAGUGCCUGAGGGGUUGGGAUAUAUUAGACAUAGAAGAUACUUAUCUUUAAAAAUAAAUAGCAAUCAACAACUCGGGCUCAUGUCAUCAGAAACAUCAACAGAGAUGGUAAGAAGACCAAAACACAUUCUACUCCAACAAAAUCCUUGCAGAAUGCAACUUUCAUAAUCCCUUGACCUUACUUUUGGUAAGAAUUUAUACAAGACUAUAAGUCUUCAAGACCAUUACUCGAUAAUUCAAGAGACUUCAUACAAUGUAAUGAGAUUGGUAAAAAAAUAAAAUAGUUUCAUUUUAUUCUAAGUAGUGUCCCAACUGUACAUGAAGUUUUUCUUUUAUGGAUCUUGAUUUAUAUAAUUAUAAUCAUAAGACAAAUGCUUUAAACUGUGCAGUUCACUGAUGCACAAUGACACUACUUCUGAAAUAGAAGAAAUAUGCUUAAAAGAAUGAAAAGAGAUGAAAAGAGAGAAGCAGUUUCAGUAAAAAAAACCAAUACAAAUUCAUAACUAUUGACUCCUACAUCUUUUGUUGUAUGAUUCUGCUUAAAAUUCAUUUCAAUGUAUAACAAAAACUACUGUAAUGAUGUAAAGUAAUUAGCCUCCAACUAAUAAAAAUAAAUGGAAAAAAAAAAAAGACACAUUAACAACAAUUUUCUGUAUUAGAAUAUAAAAAGAUCCCUCAUAUUAGCCUUCAACAGUGGAUUUUAAAAUUUACUGAAUUGUUCCUUUUCUCUUCUUCCCAAUAACUGCUACUUUCAAUUUGUUCUUUUUAUUCAUCCUCUUGUUCCAAUGUAAGAUAAAUAGAUUUUCAAAGACAUUUUCCUAAACUUUUGAAUUAUCAUUACUAACUGAAGUGUACAUUCUCCACAAAUAUUUCUGGAAUGAUAAUUUUAGUAUCAAAAACUUAAAUAGAAAAAAAUAAAGCUUAAAUAGUAUUUAAAUCUUUUGACUCUGUGAUAAACUUGUGGCUCAGUUACAGUAAGAA
Odocoileus virginianus texanus is the source of this 1224-nucleotide non-coding RNA. NCBI's taxonomy places the organism in Eukaryota, Metazoa, Chordata, Mammalia, Artiodactyla, Cervidae. The record is from RefSeq and is a predicted model, not a curated record.